This 440-nucleotide ribosomal RNA is filed under the name uncultured bacterium. RNAcentral's name for it is "partial 16S ribosomal RNA". It matches the Rfam family "Bacterial small subunit ribosomal RNA", at positions 338 to 795 of the family's 1533-position model. The record is from RNAcentral.
CCUACGGGAGGCUGCAGUGGGGAAUAUUGCACAAUGGGGGAAACCCUGAUGCAGCGACGCCGCGUGAGUGAAGAAGUAUUUCGGUACGUAAAGCUCUAUCAGCAGGGAAGAAAAUGACGGUACCUGACUAAGAAGCCCCGGCUAACUACGUGCCAGCAGCCGCUGUAAUACGUAGGGGGCAAGCGUUAUCCGGAUUUACUGGGUGUAAAGGGAGCGUAGACGGCAGCGCAAGUCUGGGGUGAAAUCCCAUGGCUUAACCAUGGAACUGCUUUGGAAACUGGGCAGCUAGAGUGCAGGAGAGGUAAGCGGAAUUCCUAGUGUAGCGGUGAAAUGCGUAGAUAUUAGGAGGAACACCAGUGGCGAAGGCGGCUUACUGGACUGUAACUGACGUUGAGGCUCGAAAGCGUGGGGAGCAAACAGGAUUAGAUACCCGGGUAGUC